GAUGAACGCUGGCGGCGUGCUUAACACAUGCAAGUCGAACGAGAAAUGGAGACGGAAACCUUCGGGCGGAAGGCUUCAUUUCGAGUGGCGGACGGGUGAGUAACUCGUGGGUAACCUGCCUCAUACAGGGGGAUAACAGUUGGAAACGACUGGUAAUACCGCAUAAGACCACAGCACCGCAUGGUGCGGGGGUAAAAACUCCGGUGGUCUGGGAUGGACCCGCGUUGGAUUAGCCAGUUGGCGGGGUAACGGCCCACCAAAGCGACGAUCCAUAGCCGAUCUGAGAGGAUGACCGGCCACAUUGGGACUGAGACACGGCCCAAACUCCUACGGGAGGCAGCAGUGGGGAAUAUUGCACAAUGGGGGAAACCCUGAUGCAGCGACGCCGCGUGAGUGAAGAAGUACUUCGGUAUGUAAAGCUCUAUCAGCAGGGAAGAAAAUGACGGUACCUGGAGAAGAAGCCCCGGCUAACUACGUG
RNAcentral lists this ribosomal RNA (478 nucleotides) under uncultured bacterium. Its description in RNAcentral is "partial 16S ribosomal RNA". It matches the Rfam family "Bacterial small subunit ribosomal RNA", at positions 28 to 507 of the family's 1533-position model. The record is from RNAcentral.